This 443-nucleotide ribosomal RNA is filed under the name uncultured bacterium. RNAcentral's name for it is "bacterial SSU rRNA". It matches the Rfam family "Bacterial small subunit ribosomal RNA", at positions 958 to 1399 of the family's 1533-position model. The record is from RNAcentral.
AACGCGAAGAACCUUACCUGGGCUCGAAAUGGAGUGGAUCGGGGUGGAAACAUCCCUUCCCCGCAAGGGGCUGCUCUAUAGGUGCUGCAUGGCUGUCGUCAGCUCGUGUCGUGAGAUGUUGGGUUAAGUCCCGCAACGAGCGCAACCCUUAUCCCUAGUUGCCAUCGGGUCAAGCCGGGCACUCUAGUGAAACUGCCUGGGAUAACCAGGAGGAAGGUGGGGAUGACGUCAAGUCCUCAUGGCCUUUAUGUCCAGGGCUACACACGUGCUACAAUGGCCGGUACAAACCGUCGCAAACCCGCAAGGGGAAGCUAAUCGGAAAAAGCCGGCCUCAGUUCGGAUUGGAGUCUGCAACCCGACUCCAUGAAGCUGGAAUCGCUAGUAAUCGCGGAUCAGAACGCCGCGGUGAAUACGUUCCCGGGCCUUGUACACACCGCUCGCGA